GAUGAAGAACGCAGUGAAAUGCGAUACUUGGUGUGAAUUGCAGAAUCCCGUGAACCAUCGAGUCUUUGAACGCAAGUUGCGCCCGAGGCCUCCUGGUCGAGGGCACGUCUGCCUGGGUGUCACGCAUCGUCGCCCCCGCUCCCCUCGGCUCACGAGGGCGGGGGCGGAUACUGGUCUCCCGCGCGCUCCCGCUCGUGGCUGGCCCAAAAUCGAGUCCCCGGCGACGGUCGCCACGACGAGCGGUGGUUGAGAGACCCUCGGACACUGUCGUGCGCGCGCCCGUCGCCCCCGGGAUCUCCUGGACCCUCGGGCAUCGACCUUUCUAGGAUGCUCUCGUUGCGACCCCAGGUCAGGCGGGACUACCCGCUGAGUUUAAGCACAUCAAUAAGCGGAGGA
RNAcentral lists this unclassified non-coding RNA (396 nucleotides) under soil metagenome. RNAcentral describes it as "partial contains 5.8S ribosomal RNA, internal transcribed spacer 2, and large subunit ribosomal RNA". The stretch from base 1 to 122 matches the Rfam family "5.8S ribosomal RNA", at positions 35 to 154 of the family's 154-position model. The record is from RNAcentral.